Ictidomys tridecemlineatus (thirteen-lined ground squirrel) is the source of this 72-nucleotide non-coding RNA. NCBI's taxonomy places the organism in Eukaryota, Metazoa, Chordata, Mammalia, Rodentia, Sciuridae. The record is from Rfam.
GAGGGUGGAGCUCAAUGAUUAGAGCACUUGCCUAGCAUGUGGGAGGCCCUGGGUUCAAUCCCCAGUGCCCCA